GACGAACGCUGGCGGCGUGCUUAACACAUGCAAGUCGAACGGAAAGGCCCCCACCUUGGUGGGGGUGCUCGAGUGGCGAACGGGUGAGUAACACGUGGGUGAUCUGCCCUGUACUUCGGGAUAAGCUUGGGAAACUGGGUCUAAUACCGGAUAGGACCAUGGUUUAGUGUCUCAUGAUGGAAAAAUUAUUGUUUUGGUGCAGGAUGAGCUCGCGGCCUAUCGGCUUGUUGGUGGGGUAAUGGCCUACCAAGGCGUCGACGGGUAGCCGGCCUGAGAGGGUGGACGGCCACAUUGGGACUGAGAUACGGCCCAGACUCCUACGGGAGGCAGCAGUGGGGAAUAUUGCACAAUGGGCGCAAGCCUGAUGCAGCGACGCCGCGUGGGGGAUGACGGCCUUCGGGUUGUAAACUCCUUUCGUUAGGGACGAAGCCACACCUUUUUUGGGUGUGGUGACGGUACCUUUGUUAAGAAGCACCGGCUAACUACGUG
Molecule: ribosomal RNA, 489 nt
Filed under: uncultured bacterium
Lineage: Bacteria
Description: partial 16S ribosomal RNA
Rfam family: Bacterial small subunit ribosomal RNA
Source: RNAcentral